AUUUUGUAUUUGAGUGAGUCACUUCCAUAGAGCACAAAGAUAUAUGAUGCUUGGUGAACAACAUGUUCUCUUGCUCGCUAGGUGUUCGACAAAACGCCAAAAAGAGAUUUAGUUUCAUGGAAGGUGAUAAAUUUGAGUAUAUUAUUUUGAUAGUUGACACUUUCCAGUUUUUCACUGGUUUUGUUAGUGAUAAAUUUCACUGGUACAAAGGGGAACCAGUUUUACCAAGGCUGAUGAUGAUGACAUUAUGAGUUGAGAUGCACCCUCUUGCUUUGAAAGUGAUUGAUUCAAGAGACAAAAGUGAUAUAACUAUAUAAAUAAGUAUAAUGGUGCUUUAUUAUUAAUUUUUAACUUUCAUCUCAUAGUGAUUAACUUUCUUUACUGUUUUUUUGGUUUAUUAGUUUUGCAAAAAGUUUCACAAGUUCUUUUUGAUGUCGUUGAAGGUUAACACAACCGACCCCAAGAAAUAUUAUGUCCAUCCAAGCACUGGAAUUGUCUUACCAUGAUUUCUUUGAAAUAUCACAGAUUUCUUUGUCUACUAUGUUACAUAGUUUCAUUGCCUACCUCCACCGGUGGAUACGGGUACCAUUUAUUUCAAAAAGUUACCCGAGGGUGAACCAUGUAGCAACUAGCAAUGGUGAUGAACCCAAGAAACCACUAGAGGGAAAGGCCAUGGAGAAUUGAAACCGCCAAGAGUUCUCGAGGUUUUUCAUAUAUUUCAAGAGGCUUCUUAUCAAUACAUACACUGAUGGGAUCACUCACUUAAAAAAGAGGGAUCGUUUCAAUUGCACCAAACCAUGAGAGCUACUAUGGGGCCAACCAGCCCAACCCUUCUGAACCUGUGCAGAAUUCUUGCUUGAAGGGAUAAAUGGACUUCUUUCGGACACCAGGUUUCAGAUAUGGCAUUCAGGUUUGCAGGAAUUGUGAUUGAAGGUCGUUGUUUCAAACGGAGAUAGUUUGUUUGUUCAAGCCCACCUAAAGGUGAUUCAUUGAUGGACAGACCACCUAUUUUUGAAAAACUUCCACGACUUCAAGGCUCGAUAUUGAAGAUUUCAUGCAGAAAAAGGUUUUCUUGGAGAUAUCGCUUCUAGCAUAUAUUUGGUGAUUUGGAUGAUAAUGGCACACGCUUUUUAAGUUUCUAAGGAUACAAAAAGAUUCUGAAUCGUACAUGGUACUGA
This is a long non-coding RNA of Helianthus annuus (common sunflower), 1178 nucleotides long. RefSeq lists it as uncharacterized. Lineage: Eukaryota; Viridiplantae; Streptophyta; Magnoliopsida; Asterales; Asteraceae. The transcript is spliced from 6 exons. The record is from RefSeq and is a predicted model, not a curated record.